RNAcentral lists this ribosomal RNA (496 nucleotides) under uncultured bacterium. Its description in RNAcentral is "partial 16S ribosomal RNA". It matches the Rfam family "Bacterial small subunit ribosomal RNA", at positions 28 to 506 of the family's 1533-position model. The record is from RNAcentral.
GAUGAACGCUGGCGGCGUGCCUAAUACAUGCAAGUCGAGCGAACAGACGAGGAGCUUGCUCCUCUGACGUUAGCGGCGGACGGGUGAGUAACACGUGGAUAACCUACCUAUAAGACUGGGAUAACUUCGGGAAACCGGAGCUAAUACCGGAUAAUAUAUUGAACCGCAUGGUUCAAUAGUGAAAGACGGUUUUGCUGUCACUUAUAGAUGGAUCCGCGCCGCAUUAGCUAGUUGGUAAGGUAACGGCUUACCAAGGCGACGAUGCGUAGCCGACCUGAGAGGGUGAUCGGCCACACUGGAACUGAGACACGGUCCAGACUCCUACGGGAGGCAGCAGUAGGGAAUCUUCCGCAAUGGGCGAAAGCUUGACGGAGCAACGCCGCGUGAGUGAUGAAGGUCUUCGGAUCGUAAAACUCUGUCAUUAGGGAAGAACAAAUGUGUAAGUAACUAUGCACGUCUUGACGGUACCUAAUCAGAAAGCCACGGCUAACUACGU